RNAcentral lists this ribosomal RNA (633 nucleotides) under uncultured bacterium. Its description in RNAcentral is "bacterial SSU rRNA". The stretch from base 1 to 543 matches the Rfam family "Bacterial small subunit ribosomal RNA", at positions 338 to 873 of the family's 1533-position model. The record is from RNAcentral.
CCUACGGGAGGCAGCAGUGGGGAAUUUUGGACAAUGGGCGCAAGCCUGAUCCAGCAAUGCCGCGUGAGUGAAGAAGGCCUUCGGGUUGUAAAGCUCUUUUGUCAGGGAAGAAACGGUGGGGGCUAAUAUCCCCUGCUAAUGACGGUACCUGAAGAAUAAGCACCGGCUAACUACGUGCCAGCAGCCGCGGUAAUACGUAGGGUGCAAGCGUUAAUCGGAAUUACUGGGCGUAAAGCGUGCGCAGGCGGUUUUGAAGUUUGUCGUGAAAUCCCCGGGCUCAACCUGGGAAUGGCGAUGAAGACUGCAAGGCUAGAAUCUGGCAGAGGGGGGUAGAAUUCCACGUGUAGCAGUGAAAUGCGUAGAGAUGUGGAGGAACACCGAUGGCGAAGGCAGCCCCCUGGGUCAAGAUUGACGCUCAUGCACGAAAGCGUGGGGAGCAAACAGGAUUAGAUACCCUGGUAGUCCACGCCCUAAACGAUGUCUACUAGUUGUUCGGUUUUAAUUAACGUUGGUAACGCAGCUAACGCGUAGAAGUAGACCGCCGUGGGGAGUACGGUCGCAAGUAAUUAAAACCGCGAAAAGGAAGUUGGACGGCGUGAGACGUGCCGACGGACGACGACGAGGGAGGUUAGG